RNAcentral lists this ribosomal RNA (627 nucleotides) under Papiliotrema aff. laurentii APSS 823. Its description in RNAcentral is "eukaryotic LSU rRNA". It matches the Rfam family "Eukaryotic large subunit ribosomal RNA", at positions 47 to 663 of the family's 3401-position model. Lineage: Eukaryota; Fungi; Basidiomycota; Tremellomycetes; Tremellales; Rhynchogastremaceae. The record is from RNAcentral.
UAAGCGGAGGAAAAGAAACUAACAAGGAUUCCCCUAGUAACGGCGAGUGAACCGGGAAGAGCUCAAAUUUGAAAUCUGGCGUCCUCAGGGCGUCCGAGUUGUAAUCUAUAGAGGCGUUUUCCGUGCCGGACCGUGUCCAAGUCCCUUGGAACAGGGUAUCAAAGAGGGUGACAAUCCCGUACUUGACACGACUACCGGUGCUCUGUGAUACGUCUUCUACGAGUCGAGUUGUUUGGGAAUGCAGCUCAAAAUGGGUGGUGAGUUCCAUCUAAAGCUAAAUAUUGGCGAGAGACCGAUAGCGAACAAGUACCGUGAGGGAAAGAUGAAAAGCACUUUGGAAAGAGAGUUAAACAGUACGUGAAAUUGUUGAAAGGGAAACGAUUGAAGUCAGUCGUGACCGAGAGGCUCAGCCGGCUCUGCCGGUGUAUUCCCCUCGGUCGGGUCAACAUCAGUUUUGUCCGGUGGAUAAGGGCGGCAGGAAUGUGGCACCCUCGGGUGUGUUAUAGCCUGCUGUCGCAUACACCGGGUGAGACUGAGGAACGCAGCUCGCCUUUAUGGCCGGGGCCCGCCCACGUACGAGCUUAGGAUGUUGACGUAAUGGCUUUAAACGACCCGUCUUGAAACACG